UGGGGAAUUUUGGACAAUGGGCGCAAGCCUGAUCCAGCAAUGCCGCGUGCAGGAUGAAGGCCUUCGGGUUGUAAACUGCUUUUGUACGGAACGAAAAAGCUCUCUCUAAUACAGGGGGUGAAUGACGGUACCGUAAGAAUAAGCAUCGGCUAACUACGUGCCAGCAGCCGCGGUAAUACGUAGGGUGCAAGCGUUAAUCGGAAUUACUGGGCGUAAAGCGUGCGCAGGCGGUUUUGUAAGACAGAGGUGAAAUCCCCGGGCUCAACCUGGGAACUGCCUUUGUGACUGCAAAGCUGGAGUGCGGCAGAGGGGGAUGGAAUUCCGCGUGUAGCAGUGAAAUGCGUAGAUAUGCGGAGGAACACCGAUGGCGAAGGCAAUCCCCUGGGCCUGCACUGACGCUCAUGCACGAAAGCGUGGGGAGCAAACA
This 427-nucleotide ribosomal RNA is filed under the name uncultured bacterium. RNAcentral describes it as "bacterial SSU rRNA". It matches the Rfam family "Bacterial small subunit ribosomal RNA", at positions 355 to 774 of the family's 1533-position model. The record is from RNAcentral.